RNAcentral lists this ribosomal RNA (242 nucleotides) under uncultured bacterium. Its description in RNAcentral is "partial 16S ribosomal RNA". It matches the Rfam family "Bacterial small subunit ribosomal RNA", at positions 333 to 592 of the family's 1533-position model. The record is from RNAcentral.
UGAUGCCUACGGGGCGCAGCAGUGGGGGAUAUUGCACAAUGGGGGGAACCCUGAUGCAGCGACGCCGCGUGGGCGAUGGAGUGCUUAGGCAUGGAAAGCCCUAUCAGCAGGGAAGAAAAUGACGGUACCUGACUAAGAAGCCCCGGCUAAAUACGUGCCAGCAGCCGCGGUAAUACGUAUGGGGCAAGCGUUAUCCGGAUUUACUGGGUGUAAAGGGAGCGAAGGCGGCCUGGCAAGCCUGA